Molecule: long non-coding RNA, 1418 nt
Organism: Triticum aestivum (bread wheat)
Lineage: Eukaryota; Viridiplantae; Streptophyta; Magnoliopsida; Poales; Poaceae
Exons: 5
Source: RefSeq, a predicted model, not a curated record
ACCCCUCUCUCCUGCGCAAACCCCAUCCCUCUCCCCUCUCUCUUGCGCGAACCCUAGCUUCCUCCCUUGCCGCCGCCACCUCCAGCCCCCGAUCCCCGUGACCAGCACACCAACGUCCGGCGAGAUCCCGAGGGCGCAGCAGCCGCCCUCCCCACCGCGGCUCGGGGGCAGGCAGCAGCAGCCCCUCCCGCUGCCCAGGCUGGUAGCAGCCCCUCCUGUCGCCCUCCCCGAUCCAGAUCCCUCGCCGCCACCCACCUCCACCACAUCUCCCCUCUCCACCUUGAUGCAGAACUCCCCCGUCCCCUCGAUGCGGAGCUUGCUACCGUCCAUGGCCUCCCCCACGCCCUCCUCCUCUCGCCCCUCCCCUUCCCUCACCAGAAGGGAGAGAAGAACCCGAGGGAGGGAGAUCCAACGCGAUCCAGCCUCGGUCUCCGCUGCCUCGGCCUCGCGCCUCGCCGGAGCAGCUCCGCCGCCGACCGAAGUCCCGCAGGUCGACGUGUUCCCCCGCUCUUCUUCCUCCCUCUGUUUGUGUCUCCCUUUUUUUCUCUCAAGUCUCAAUCCCCUUUGUACUUCUCUAUGCAAGGAGGCCGCCAUGGACGCCUGAGGUCCUUCGCUCCGACCCACAACCCGGCGGCCUUGCCGACGUCGUCACCCUGGUGAGCCGCAACCUCGAUGGAGGUCUGGCUUCGGAUCCGAGCCGCAGGCACCCACCCGUCGUUUUCGUGCUUCCGCUCCUGCUCCGUCGUUGUCACGCGACCAUCUUGACUCCCUCCCGCACGCACGAGCAGCAGGAAGAUGCAGUUCUUCGUCAAGACCUCAUAGGUUCAUGAGGGAAGAUAUACCAUAUAUAUUCACUCCUCAAGGGAAGCUGCAACCCGCAGAACGCAAGAAAGGGCUGUUGUGUGUUGCGUCCUCGCCAUGUCUGGACAUCAAGGAUGAGCACCGGAUCAGCGUCGACGUGUGUGCCCGCAAGGUCGUGGGUUGCAAGGUCUAUGAGUUGGUUGAGCCACCGCGCGAAGACAUCACUUCCCGCUUCGUUCACGCUUGGCCGCUGCCAUCGGCUCUCUGCUCAGCUGCAAGACAGAGACACGCCACCAUGCGAUGAUUCUUCUUCCACUCGCAGGCCUCCCACUCUAGUAACUCUUUUUCUACUCCAGCAUAGCAUAGCUGGUGAUUUGUUUCUUGGAAUUUGGAAGAGGAAGACGAUGAAGCGUGGUGGUUAUCUAUCAAUAUGCCUUGUGUUCUGGUUGUACUUCAUAGCUAGUUUCAUUGUAUUUUGUACUGGUCUGGUUGUAUGAACAGUAUGUAAAGAUUGUAAUAGGCUACACUUAUUGGUCUGGUUGUAUUUUGUACUGGUCUGGUUGUACUGGUCUGGUCAUUUCAAGUAUAUAGUUUUGUUUCAUUUGAAAUAUUUGUCA